UAGGGAAUCUUCCACAAUGGGCGAAAGCCUGAUGGAGCAACGCCGCGUGUGUGAUGAAGGGUUUCGGGCUCGUAAAACACUGUUGUAAGAGAAGAAUGACAUUGAGAGUAACUGUUCAAUGUGUGACGGUAUCUUACCAGAAAGGAACGGCUAAAUACGUGCCUG
This 165-nucleotide ribosomal RNA is filed under the name uncultured bacterium. RNAcentral describes it as "partial 16S rRNA". It matches the Rfam family "Bacterial small subunit ribosomal RNA", at positions 355 to 511 of the family's 1533-position model. The record is from RNAcentral.